ACUCCCAGAGUGGACUGGCGGGGACCCCCGGGUGCGGAUUGGAAAACCCUGCUACUGUGUUUGGAAUAAGAGAAGGGACCUGAAAUUGGGAGAAGACAAGAGCUGAUGGGAAUAAGGGCAAAGUGCCUUCGGGAUGGAGCGAUGGAAGACUGUAGUUAGUAGGAUGUAGUUAGUAAUCUUGUGGGGGUCACAAGAUUUUCCUACUAAUUAGAGAGGCGCUCAGGAUAGGGGGCGCAGAGUGUUUGUAGCCGCCAGGGAAUAGGGGAGGUAAUCCUGAAUGGAGGCAUGGUGGACGCUACAGAGGUUAGAGUUAGAGGACUUCUGCAUGGAGGUACAGUGUUUCCCUGCUAGCUAGAGUGACCACCAGGAGAGGGCUUAAGAAACUCUGCAGGCAGCUCCGGAAUAGGGUAAGGGGACCUGCAGUUGGGGAAAGUGGCAAGGCUACCCUGAAUUGGGGGUAUGGGAGACACUGCAGAGGAUGAAGAGAGGAAAGCACAGAUGGGGGGACACAGUGGUCUCCGCAGAAUAGGAAGUGGGAGACCCUGCGGCCAGCCCCAGCAAGAGGGACCCUCAGUGAAGGGGGCAGAGGGUCCUCUGCAUAGACAGGGUCAGAAAAUCCAGAGUGGGGAAGCUGUGAGGCACUGGACAUGAAGUCGGGAAAGCUGGCACCUGUGUGGGUGUUUGGGGGGAAGUGACAGGUGUGCUAGUAGUCAUUCAGGCCAGGGUCUGCAGACUGAGGUCAGCUCCACAGUUUGCUGGCCAGUGACCUUGAACAAGUUAUGCACCCCCCUCAGUUUUCCCAUCUGUACAAAGCCCUAGGACAGGCUGCAACUUGAGACCCCUACCUAGCUUCCCAAGCAGUUUUGGCUUUGUGGGUGGGUGCGUGGGGAGUCCUCUGCCGAAUUGGGGUAGGGGAACCCACGUGCUGCCUGCGGAUAUGGCAGCUGCUUUCCUACAACUAGGAAAUCCCUUUCUCCUCCCCAUCGCCUCAACUUCAAUUUGGCAUCUCUCCCCACACCCCCACAAUGGAUAAGUGAGUCCCAUGAUAGGCAUCCCUUCCCGCCCCAUAAGCCCUAUUGUGGUAUCAUGUAUUAAAAGGGGUCCUGAGAUUUGGGGAGCUCUGCAACUGCUGUUGUUAUUUGACUUUUUCUUGGUUUUGGCUCAUUUCAAAUGUCUUGGGAGUGGGAGCGGUACUGCGGAUGGCGCUUCAGCACCGGGGACACGACCUGCUUUUUUUCAGGGAGAAAGGAGUUAACCUCUGCCUUUACCAUGAGGAGGAAGGGAGGGGGGUGUGCACCUCCCCCUUGCUUGGCCAUUGUACUAAACAGAUGGGGAACGGAGGAGGAAGUGGGUAAAUGGUCUGGCAGGGUCUUCCGGGGAGUCAAGGACCCAGCCCCUCAACUUUCUGCUAGGGGUCCAGUUCCCUGUUUUCUGCAUUCUCCCACACACAAACCUGGGCAGUCCCGCUCAUCUGCUGGGAGCUGAAAGGACCCCUGGAAUGCUGGAUGCUGGGAAGGAGAAUCAGCGAAGACUCGCCUCCCAGAUCUGAGCCUCCCUCAGGCAGUUAUCUCAACCCUACUACGUUUCCAGUUUACACUGGUUUUCCUCCUGUGGGAUCCCCAAGAUGGGGACAAACUUUCUCCCAGGAAAGACCCGUGCCAGCUCUUUUCUGUUUGCCCUCCACCUCAUUCCCAGCCCCCUGGUUCUAAGCAGACCCUCAGCAAUGGGGAAGUGAUGGUGCUGUCCCUUUAACCACGUUUUACUGGAAGGAGAGUGCGCAGGGGAAGGAGGAGGGGGGAGGGAGUUUCUGGCUUUGCAUGGAGAAGCAGAACAUGAUGAAGCAUUUUUCCUCCCAUUUAAUGAUCCCGGCAUGCAGAGAGGCUGUUUUGCAGUUGGUGCUGGGAGGAUGGAGCCUCACAAGACUUGUCAUCAAACCCAUUUUCCAGAGAAGGAAACAGGCCAGGACUACAGAACUCGUUUCUCCGCUUCUGAAUAGUAGGCGGGUUCUCCGACUUGACAGAUUCGCGCCCUCUGCAGGCGGCGGCGGGCACGCCAGCGUCUCGGUCAGCCCCGCCCCUCGGCGCCGGAAACGCCCAGAACGCUCCUAACGCUCUUCCGAAGGUCCGGGCUGGGAGAAGCCGGGCGCGCUCGCAACCGGGACCCAACUUCCCUGCGGUGUUGGUAAUCGUGGCGUCGGGUCAGAGGCAUCAUUGGGAACCGCGGAAAGGUGGCGGCGUUUUAACUGCUAACUCUUCGUCGUGAGUUAUACCCCGACGGCGGCAACGUUCAGAGGGGAAGGUGAUCCUCACAGGGCGAUCGUGCACAAGCGAGGACACCGGUGCAUCAAGCCCUGGGCCAGUUUCCCUGCGUCUGUGCUUCUGAGUGUAACCUCCCACUCCCCAGACCUCAGUUUCUGCACCUGUAAAAUGGGGACUCUCCCAGGACACUUCCACGACUGCAAACAUUAGGAUUUCCUCCAGCAUUUUCAGAAAUUCCAUCCCUAGGCAGGCACUGAGAAAUCAGAGCUGGGACAGGCUAGUCCGUGGGGAUGCCCCUUCCCUUGCUGCAGUAGCACUCCUGACACUGGAGAGUCCUGGAGGGUAGGGACCAAUCCUUUCCUGGUGGACCAGGAGCCCUACAACGUGGGGUGAUGACAGACAAGAGACAUGGCCAUGGAAGUAACAAGUGACAUAGUAGCUCAAAUUUAUUGAGCACUUACUGUGUGCCUGGCCUUGUGUGAAGCCCAUCACAUGUGUUAUUUCCACCUCAGUACAGCCCUGUCUGGUGGACACUGUUCUUACCAUCCCCAGUUUACUGAUGAGGCAUUGGAGGCCCAGAAUCACAAGUUGUUCACUCCAGCCAGUAAAAAACUGGAACUUUGUGGUCCAUUAAUGGUGCACUCUGCCUGCCUGUAUAUCACUCUUAGGAAGACCCAAUUCUUCCCUGAGUCUCAGUUUCCCCUUCUGUAAAAUGAGAUGCUUAGAUUGGAAGGCUCUGAACAUUGUUUCCUGAGCUCCUGUUCUUUGAUUUUGGGGAGCGUUUACAUGAUUCCAGAGUCCUAGGUUUGUUCAUAAUUACCUAUGACUUGGGCAUGCCUUGGCCUAGUUCCCUGCAUCUCUGCGCCUCAGUCCCGCCCUGCUAAGAUGUGGAAACUAGAUAAUCCCAAUAGCAAGGGCACCUUCCAGCUUUACUAUUUUAUGAUUACAGAUGAAGAGACAAGGUGAGGUUCAGCAAACUGUACAUCCCCUCAGAAUUUGUCAUUAGUGUGUUUCUACCAGUCCCCUCAGAACAUCCCUGGUGUGAGGCUUCCAAGGACAGAUGUCCUGCACAGGUGAAGGGAAGCAGCCAUCUCCAAACAGUCAGCAGUAACUGCUGGGAGAGGCUACUCCCUAAUGGUUCAGGGCUUACCUCUGAAGUCAGACCAAUCCAAGGCUGACUGUCAGCUCUGCCACUUCCCAGCAGGGCACCUCAGGCAAGCAACCUUUCCUUUCUGUGCCUCAGUUUCUACGUCUGUAAAAUGCGGUGCUUAUAGUACCAGCUUCAUUUGAGAUUUGAUGAAAAAACAUAUGUAACACCAUUUAUGGUCUAGAAAACCCUAAAUAAAACCAACUGUUAUCAUUUG
Hipposideros armiger (great roundleaf bat) is the source of this 3622-nucleotide long non-coding RNA. RefSeq lists it as uncharacterized. NCBI's taxonomy places the organism in Eukaryota, Metazoa, Chordata, Mammalia, Chiroptera, Hipposideridae. The transcript is spliced from 2 exons. The record is from RefSeq and is a predicted model, not a curated record.